CACUGGUACUUUUCACGGCAGCAACACAAGCGAGGAAAAUCACAGCUAAAGCAAAAUUGCGAAAUUCGAAAGGAGGGGAGCCGAUUUGGUCUCCGUGUGUAUGGUAUGACGCAUACGAACACAUUGAUGUAAAGGCACUUUGGGAAACUAUUGCUUCUGAUGGUUGGAGGCCAACAUCAGCUCAUCUAAUACUUAUUGAAUGAGGGGUAGUCAUUGGUGGAAUGGGGUAUGGUGGAGCAUAAUGACAGCUGCUUGCUGCUGCAUCACCAACACAUUAUGACUGCAACAGUACAAACAGAAAACCAUCCAAGGACUUGGCCGGGAAGCUUAGUUUCGAUAUGCUUUGAUUGCUGUUAGAGAAUGAGUUAUUCAGUUGGGAGUUAUUCAUAAGCUCUGUUAUGGAGUCUCACGAUUCUGAAAUCCCUGAAUCCAGUAUGCAACAAUGGUUCCUGCUAAGAAACGACAAAUGCUAGAUGAUCUUAACGAAAAGCGUCAACAGAAAAUUAAUGUAGCCAAGUCUACACUAACUCACGACGUCAAUGCUGGUUCAAACUCAGUCAGAGUGUUCUGAAGAUGAGCUCAUGAGCUGCUUUCUGUUGUGAAUUGUGAUUAUGAAGGUAGGUAUCAUUUUGCUAAUUAUAUUAUUUGUUUUUGGCUUUAGCAUUUCAAUCAUGUCAGAGCAGCAGGCUGUUUAAAUAAUUGCCCGUAUUUAAUAAUGCAACUCUAUUUCUCAUUAGAAUGGUAGAAAAGUUAUAUGUGGAACUCUGCUAUUGUACUCAUGGGCUUGUUUAAGGAUUGCAGUGAUCGAUUUUUCGAUUUGUCACCAAACUCGGGUUCAAUCAAUAGUGUUUGAUCAUGACAUUAGAAUGCAUAAUCUUACUCUACAGACCAACAUGUAGUAAAUCAUCUCAAAUGCCAUUGUCAAACCUCUCUGUACAAACUAUAAAGUAGUUAAUCACAAAUUACUGAUAGAAGUGGAUGCCUUGUUGCAUUCGUGUUUGGAAAAUGUGCUGAACAACUAUUAUUCUUAACCAGUAAACAAGUUAUGUAAUUAGCACAACAGGUACUACUCCACUUCCAGCCACAAGCACUCAUGUUUUACAUUAAAUUAACCUAUGACUAACUACAUAUGAAUCUUGCAGGGUCAACAACUAAGAAUUCAACAUAUCAAUAACUACUUACAAGAUGAAGACUACUAAUACAAUUGAGAUCUCAAUCCUAUACACAAGGCAAAACACAUGGUAUCAUAUACCAUAACAUCAUUGCACGAAUCAUUCUCAUUGACUACCACAAGUAAACAAGAUGGAGAAGAUGAAGACAAUUUUGAGCCUCAACAAAAGCGCACAAAGAAAAAUUAAUUUAAUUUUCUUGUACUCUUUAUCCAAUUGUUUUAUUCUAGUGGUUGAUCAUGAUAGACAGUUAGCUUUAGUUAGUCAUUUAUUUGU
Ipomoea nil (Japanese morning glory) is the source of this 1445-nucleotide long non-coding RNA. RefSeq lists it as uncharacterized. The record is from RefSeq and is a predicted model, not a curated record. NCBI's taxonomy places the organism in Eukaryota, Viridiplantae, Streptophyta, Magnoliopsida, Solanales, Convolvulaceae. The transcript is spliced from 7 exons.